GCGCCGGGCGCAUGGCCUCGGAGAGCUCCUCCUCCAUGCCGCCGGCGAACUCCCAAUCGUCGACCAUCGACGGCCCCCUCUUCUCCGCCACAGCGCCGUUGUCGCCGGGUGCGGCGGAGGACGACUUCACCCCCUCGGCGGCGGCGGCGGUGGCCUGCCCCGCCACAGACACCGCCACCGCCGGCGCCCUAGAGGACCUGAACGCCGCCGCCGCCUGAUCGACCCAGGGGGCGUGGGCGGCGCUGGACGCCGCCUUCGCCGCCUUCGCCGCCGUCCUCAUGACUCCUCCGCCCAUCGGCGAAUCUCCCGCAGACGUCCCCCGCCCCUCCCCCACCCAAAGCGAGUAAAAAGAUCAGCUUUUUCUGAGCAGCUUGCUU
This 377-nucleotide long non-coding RNA is filed under the name Spirodela polyrhiza (greater duckweed). Its description in RNAcentral is "long non-coding RNA (SPOL_LNC002423)". Lineage: Eukaryota; Viridiplantae; Streptophyta; Magnoliopsida; Alismatales; Araceae. The record is from RNAcentral.